Molecule: ribosomal RNA, 604 nt
Filed under: uncultured Actinobacteridae bacterium
Lineage: Bacteria; Bacillati; Actinomycetota; Actinomycetes
Description: bacterial SSU rRNA
Rfam family: Bacterial small subunit ribosomal RNA
Source: RNAcentral
GUGAGGUAAUGGCUCACCAAGGCGACGACGGGUAGCCGGCCUGAGAGGGUGACCGGCCACACUGGGACUGAGACACGGCCCAGACUCCUACGGGAGGCAGCAGUGGGGAAUAUUGCACAAUGGGCGCAAGCCUGAUGCAGCAACGCCGCGUGGGGGACGAAGGCCUUCGGGUUGUAAACCUCUUUUGGCAGGGAAGAAGCGAAAGUGACGGUACCUGCAGAAAAAGCACCGGCUAACUACGUGCCAGCAGCCGCGGUAAUACGUAGGGUGCAAGCGUUGUCCGGAAUUAUUGGGCGUAAAGAGCUCGUAGGCGGUGUGUCACGUCUGCUGUGAAAAUCCAAGGCUCAACCUUGGACUUGCAGUGGGUACGGGCACACUCGAGUGCGGUAGGGGAGAUUGGAAUUCCUGGUGUAGCGGUGGAAUGCGCAGAUAUCAGGAGGAACACCGAUGGCGAAGGCAGAUCUCUGGGCCGUAACUGACGCUGAGGAGCGAAAGCGUGGGGAGCGAACAGGAUUAGAUACCCUGGUAGUCCACGCCGUAAACGGUGGGAACUAGAUGUGGGGUCCGUUCCACGGAUUCCGUGUCGCAGCUAACGCAUUAAGUU